RNAcentral lists this ribosomal RNA (529 nucleotides) under uncultured bacterium. RNAcentral's name for it is "bacterial SSU rRNA". It matches the Rfam family "Bacterial small subunit ribosomal RNA", at positions 777 to 1304 of the family's 1533-position model. The record is from RNAcentral.
AAUAGAUACCCCGGUAGUCCACGCCGUAAACGAUGAGUGCUAAGUGUUAGGGGGUUUCCGCCCCUUAGUGCUGCAGCUAACGCAUUAAGCACUCCGCCUGGGGAGUACGGCCGCAAGGCUGAAACUCAAAGGAAUUGACGGGGGCCCGCACAAGCGGUGGAGCAUGUGGUUUAAUUCGAAGCAACGCGAAGAACCUUACCAGGUCUUGACAUCCUCUGACAAUCCUAGAGAUAGGACGUUUCCCUUCGGGGAACAGAGUGACAGGUGGUGCAUGGUUGUCGUCAGCUCGUGUCGUGAGAUGUUGGGUUAAGUCCCGCAACGAGCGCAACCCUUGAUCUUAGUUGCCAGCAUUCAGUUGGGCACUCUAAGGUGACUGCCGGUGACAAACCGGAGGAAGGUGGGGAUGACGUCAAAUCAUCAUGCCCCUUAUGACCUGGGCUGCACACGUGCUACAAUGGAUGGUACAAAGGGCUGCAAGACCGCGAGGUUUAGCCAAUCCCAUAAAACCAUUCUCAGUUCGGAUUGCAGG